AGGACGGGGUGGCUGCAAAGCCGGCUCUCGACAGGAGGUCCCCAACACCAGGGGUGUCACGGGACAGGAGGAGAUGCGGCAGGGCCAAGCAGGGCCCUGAUCCCUCCCACGCACGGCACGGCGAUGACCGCGAUGGUAGAAACUGUCAGGCAGUGUGAAGCAGGAGCGGAGACAGUGCUAUCAAUUGUUGCUAUGGUGAUAUCUGUGGAGAUUGUGCGACGACUGAGCAGUGCGUACUUUGAAGAGAGGCGGAAGAAAAGCUCACAGACUGCCCCACUGUCGUGAAUCACCUGUGCCCCACGCUCAGGGGCUCACUUCCUGUGGUUGCCCAUGGCCUGCCCAUGAAAUACAAAGUUUAGAUGCUCUCAUUUCCAGCCCGAGCUGUCUUUCCAUGUGGUCAGCAGUAAGGCUGUAUUCGGUGCUUCUGUGUUCUUUCAGACAGCACCAGCCCCUCCGUCCACCAGAGAGCCCAGCUCCGAGGGCCCCCAGCACCCAGGCACAAAGAGGGACUGAACCCAUCUCAAGGACCAUCGAGAGGAUUAAAUGAAAUGAUUUGUGUGAAGAGCACUCGGUGAGCCCCCUCCGUGUCGCCGAACAGUGCGCCAGGUCUUCGGCCGAGACUGCGCUCACAGCCGCCCCUGUCCUGCCUCACCCCUGGGCACAGAGGACCCCAGCUGAGUGGAGGCCCUGGCGCCGGCCCACCCGCAGGAAGGGUCUUCGCUUCCGGAGAGCUGCAGGUCUCCCUGCAGAGGUGGGCAGCGACUGUGCCGGGCCCAAUGGACAGGGCUUUGCGCUGCGGUGCCAGGGAGCGCUCUGUGCACAGCACACGCUCUGUCCAGCACAAAUGCUUUCCAGCUCUUUGUCCCGUCCGGCAGCCACUGCCUGGAGCACUGGUAGUGCACAUGGAGAAAUUCAAAAGCACCUGCCGCAUUACUGUAGAAUCACUUCCCAAACUGCAGACAGUCGUAGUGGAAGGUGGAUUGUUGUUGUUGUUGUUGUUGUUUUUUCUUUUUGAGGGAGCGCAAAUGAUUUAGUGCUAGCAUAAUGAAUUACAGGAUUGAGUGAGACCCAGAGCCAUUUGUCAUCAAAA
Molecule: long non-coding RNA, 1090 nt
Organism: Fukomys damarensis (Damara mole-rat)
Lineage: Eukaryota; Metazoa; Chordata; Mammalia; Rodentia; Bathyergidae
Exons: 2
Source: RefSeq, a predicted model, not a curated record